This 497-nucleotide ribosomal RNA is filed under the name uncultured bacterium. RNAcentral's name for it is "partial 16S ribosomal RNA". It matches the Rfam family "Bacterial small subunit ribosomal RNA", at positions 28 to 507 of the family's 1533-position model. The record is from RNAcentral.
GAUGAACGCUGGCGGCGUGCCUAAUACAUGCAAGUCGAGCGAACGGACGAGAAGCUUGCUUUUCUGAUGUUAGCGGCGGACGGGUGAGUAACACGUGGAUAACCUACCUAUAAGACUGGGAUAACUUCGGGAAACCGGAGCUAAUACCGGAUAAUAUUUUGAACCGCAUGGUUCAAAAGUGAAAGACGGUCUUGCUGUCACUUAUAGAUGGAUCCGCGCUGCAUUAGCUAGUUGGUAAGGUAACGGCUUGCCAAGGCAACGAUGCAUAGCCGACCUGAGAGGGUGAUCGGCCACACUGGAACUGAGACACGGUCCAGACUCCUACGGGAGGCAGCAGUAGGGAAUCUUCCGCAAUGGGCGAAAGCCUGACGGAGCAACGCCGCGUGAGUGAUGAAGGUCUUCGGAUCGUAAAACUCUGUUAUUAGGGAAGAACAUAUGUGUAAGUAACUGUGCACAUCUUGACGGUACCUAAUCAGAAAGCCACGGCUAACUCCGUG